This 2191-nucleotide unclassified non-coding RNA is filed under the name Daphnia pulicaria. Its description in RNAcentral is "acid-sensing ion channel 5-like, transcript variant X4". Lineage: Eukaryota; Metazoa; Arthropoda; Branchiopoda; Diplostraca; Daphniidae. The record is from RNAcentral.
GCCAUUUGAUGUCGCGAAGCAGAGUCCGUGUUUUUUUUUCUGUGAAAAUGUCAUCAAGCCACAAUCAAAACAGAAGAAGGAUUAGCUUUAAAGUAUACACGACGACACACCGCCAAAAGAAAUUGCCGGCCACUUCGCCCUAUCAGAACCGCAGUUUGCUGGACUUGCCGUCGACGGCGGCCGUCUCGGUCAUCGACCCAUUUUAUGAUUCGUCCUACUGGAACUUGGAGUACGACCCACUCGCAAUGCAGCAGGUCCCGAUGGUGGAAACAAAUUACGGCGGCAAGCUUUACUCACCAUCGGAUGAAGUAGAAACUAUCGCCGGUCACGUUUUCAAAAGUCCAAAGCCUCCGAGGGCUCAACACGGCAAGCGGCAAUGUCAGCAACAGUCAACUGCUGCGAUAACAGGCGGCAGUGGCGUCGGCAUCGAUGGCAACGGGAUCCAACGUCAAUCAAGUUUCCUGCUUAAGCGCCUGGACGCUAAAAAGUCGAUGGCCGAAAUUUCCAUUCCCGGAAUGCGAGCCGUGUUUGGACUUCGCUCGUCGAUGAUUCGUCGAAUCAUCUGGAUUUUCAUUCUUAUCACGUGCUUCAGCAUAUGUGCUAUUCAGGUUCAGGAUCGAGUGGUUACCUACAUGUCGUCGCCAGUAACGGUUCACGUCCGAGUGUCCAGAAAUAUGAGUCUUCGCUUUCCAGUUCUUUCAAUUUGUAAUAAGAACAUGUUCAACAUGUCAGCCAUUCAGAUCCUAAAGGAAAAAAAGGCGAACGCUAUCAAAGAGAAAAACGGUACCAUCGUCUCGCAGAAAGAAAUGGCCAAAUGGGAUGUGGGCGAUUUAAUUGGAGUGAAUGACUACAAUGUUUCCCAGCUUUGGGAUUUUAUUUCUCAUUCACUUAAUAAAGAUGGGAUUCAUCAUGGGAUGGCCCUAGAAUGCUACUUUGGAAGAAAUAAGACGUGUGAAGAACGUGGACGUUGGGAAGUAAUAUACAAUUACAUGGGCGUCUGCUACUCUUACACGCUAAACGGAUCUCUAGUCAACACGACUGGCCUAUUCAACAACUUCUACCUAAAGCUGCAAGAUACCCAGCCUUUGGCUUACAAGGACGACGCAAGUGGAUGGAAACUACUCAUACACGACCAAAGGGAUUCACCGCUGAUUCACCUUCGCACACACGGCACAACACUCUAUCGUGGCUGGUCCAAAGAUAUCCGCGUUUUCAUAAGACAGUUUCAGACGAUAAAUAGCGAUAAGCGUCCGUGCUCCGAUGAAAUCGACUACUCCUACUCUGAGUGUGUUGCAAAUUGUUUUAUUAAAGAAGUGAACGCCAAUAGCAUAUGUCGCCUUCCUUAUAUCAAAGCUUUAAAAGACGAUGAUCCUGAGCCGUGUAACGAUUCCCAAGCGUACGCAGCUGUCAACAAAAGGGUGGACGACCUCCUUUUCUACGGAGAGUGGUCCGAAAACAAUUGUCCGUGUCCAAGACAAUGCAAUCAGGACUUUUACAUAACGUAUGCCGAGACAAAUCAAAUGGACAAAGAACAGGAGAACAAGGGGAAAUUGCGGAUCUUUUAUCAGGAUUUGACCUAUGACGAUAUUGAAGAGGAGUUUGGUUACACGACUAUCCCUUUGCUCUGCGAUAUUGGCGGCUCGCUAGGUUUGCUACUGGGUGCUUCGGUUCUCACUUUCUUCGAAAUCAUCGAGGCUAUCUCGACAGCAUUGGUCCAUCUAACAGCUAUGUUUACUCACUGUUGCUGCCUAUUUGUCAAGUCAAAACCAGAGCCCCGACCGAUUUAAUAUCAUUGUGUGUGAAAAAUGCUGCACCAACAACACUGUUGUUGUAUUUCAGCUUCAAUUAUUGCCGAUUCAAAAGAUUUGGGUUUCUGCUGAGCAUCCAAGUUAACGAAGAUGGACGCAUUAAUCGGUGCGAACGUCUGUUUUGGGAUUCCAACCAUUCGAUUCACUGGUAAUCGUUGUCUUAAUUGGAUCAGCAUUACUAUAGCGAAGAUACUGAGCUAAUGCACCUAAUAGUCUAUUAUUGUUAAAUGUCGUUACAUAUGCAAUAAAAUUCUGGCAUGUAUUGACGGUAAACAUAAUCAAUAGAACAUACUUAAAUGUAUAUAGCUGGUCUGUUUAAAAUUUUAACUACUCAACGCAGAUUUUCCAAUGGCUUCCGAGAUAUUUUUGUAUCCUUUCGAUCU